Molecule: non-coding RNA, 72 nt
Organism: Ictidomys tridecemlineatus (thirteen-lined ground squirrel)
Lineage: Eukaryota; Metazoa; Chordata; Mammalia; Rodentia; Sciuridae
Source: Rfam
GGGGUUGUGGCUCAGCGGUAGAGCACUCGUCUAGCACACGCAAGGCCCUGGGUUCGAUCCUCAGCACCACUU